Molecule: microRNA precursor, 64 nt
Filed under: Vicugna pacos (alpaca)
Lineage: Eukaryota; Metazoa; Chordata; Mammalia; Artiodactyla; Camelidae
Description: miRNA (ENSVPAG00000016126.1)
Source: RNAcentral
UGUGUGUGUGUGUGUGUGUGUGUGUGUGAGCACACGUGGACUUGCAUGCACGCCCUUCUCACCC